This 402-nucleotide ribosomal RNA is filed under the name bacterium. RNAcentral's name for it is "partial 16S ribosomal RNA". It matches the Rfam family "Bacterial small subunit ribosomal RNA", at positions 355 to 776 of the family's 1533-position model. The record is from RNAcentral.
UGGGGAAUUUUGCACAAUGGGGGAAACCAUGAUGCAGCGACGCCGCGUGAUUUAGAAGGCCUUCGGGUUGUAAAAAUCUUUUCUAUGGGAAGAAAAUGACAGUACCAUAGGAAUAAGGACCGGCUAAUUACGUGCCAGCAGCCGCGGUAAUACGUAAGGUCCGAGCGUUGUCCGGAAUCAUUGGGCGUAAAGGGUACGUAGGCGGGUAAGCAAGUUAGAAGUGAAAUCCUAUAGCCCAACUAUAGUAAGCUUUUAAAAAUGCUCAUCUUGAGGUAUGGAAGGGAAAGUGGAAUUCCUAGUGUAGCGGUGAAAUGCGCAGAUAUUAGGAGGAAUACCGGUGGCGAAGGCGACUUUCUGGCCAUAACCUGACGCUGAGGUACGACAGCGUGGGUAGCAAACGGG